GAUGAACGCUGGCGGCGUGCCCAACACAUGCAAGUCGAGCGAACCCUUCGGGGUGAGCGGCGGACGGGUGAGUAACGCGUGGGUAACCUGCCCUAUACACACGGAUAACGUACCGAAAGGUACGCUAAUACGGGAUAAAGUUGUUGGAUGGCAUCUUCUAACAAUCAAAGCUCUGGCGGUAUAGGAUGGACCCGCGUCUGAUUAGCUAGUUGGUGAGGUAAUGGCUCACCAAGGCGACGAUCAGUAGCCGACCUGAGAGGGUGAUCGGCCACACUGGAACUGGGACACGGUCCAGACUCCUACGGGAGGCGGCAGUGGGGAAUAUUGCACGAUGGGCGAAAGCCUGAUGCAGCAACGCCGCGUGGGCGAUGAAGGUCUUCGGAUCGUAAAGCUCUGUCCUCAAGGAAGAUAAUGACGGUACUUGAGGAGGAAGCCCCGGCUAACUACGUGCCAGCCGCCGCCGUAA
Molecule: ribosomal RNA, 466 nt
Filed under: uncultured bacterium
Lineage: Bacteria
Description: partial 16S ribosomal RNA
Rfam family: Bacterial small subunit ribosomal RNA
Source: RNAcentral